UUAUCAAAAUUUCUCAACAUAAAUUAUACAUGAGUUUGACUGGACUACUAUCGAUAGUAAACUACUCGAUUUAUUAUUACCGAUUUGUUUUUGAUGAUAGAGCUUCCAAAUCGACGAUCGGUAUCGUUGAACAUGAUCUAAACCAUCUAAAUUAUCUCCAAAUCAAAUUUUAUGAUUUUUUGGCAUUACUAACUGAACGAUCAAAUGAUUACAAAAUCUAUAAUUUUAAUGACUGAUAUAGUGCGUUUGCUCGUUUAACGGUAUAGAAGAGUUCAAAUCAACUAAAUUUUUAUUAGAAAAUUCUUUAAACUAUAUAAAAUAAGAUCUAGACUCUAGAUCUCAAAUAUAAAAAUUGUAUCAUCACCUUUUGAAGGAUGUUCAUUUCCAGCCAUUCAUUUUUUUGUUCGCUUGAUGGACAAGUGAACAAUAUCGAAAAUGUGUGAAAUUUGAUUUCCAAAUAGUUUAAAUAGUUUAGAUCAUAUUUAACGGUGCCGAUCAUCAAUUUGGAAGUUCUAUCAUCGAAAACAAAUCGAUAGUAAAUCGAGCCAUUUACUACCGAUAGUAUUUUAGCAAAACUCAUAUUAUUAAAUUAUAAUUAAAAAAUAAAAAUAAAAUUUUAAAAUAAAACCAAUGCGCACCUGGUUCACCAAACAAAAUUCCACU
Molecule: long non-coding RNA, 663 nt
Filed under: Ananas comosus (pineapple)
Lineage: Eukaryota; Viridiplantae; Streptophyta; Magnoliopsida; Poales; Bromeliaceae
Description: long non-coding RNA (ACOM_LNC041765)
Source: RNAcentral